This 905-nucleotide long non-coding RNA is filed under the name Androctonus crassicauda. Lineage: Eukaryota; Metazoa; Arthropoda; Arachnida; Scorpiones; Buthidae. The record is from RNAcentral.
AACAAAUUACAAUGGUAAAUCAUGCUCUCAGUUUGCAAAAUUUGGUAUUACAGUGAAACCUCUCUAUGUUGGACACAUUUGGUUCCUUCAAAAUGCGUCCAACAUAGAGGGAUGUCCAACAUAGAGAGAUUCAUAUUACAGUAUUAAAUUUUUUUCUAAAUAUACUAACACUAAAUUUUCAUGGCAAUGCAAACCUUUAUUCAAAUCAAACUAAAAGCCUUUAUUAUUUUAAAUCAAACUUAAAAAUAUCAAGUACACACUGCAAUGUGUCAAUGCUUUCAGCAUAGGAACUAUUUAUUUGAAAAGAAGUCUGUAACUAGAGUUUGUCUUUUUUUAUUUAACUUAAAUUUCAUCCACACAUUUUCAAUUUUUUUUCUAACACCAAAUAGAGUUUCAACAAGCUUUGGUUCAUUAUUAGAAAAUGCAAAUCGUUCAAGUUCCUCUACAUAUUCCAAAGCUGUUUUAUGGGUAACUGGUUCUUAAACCUCUUUGAAAUAAAUCCUUUAAGUUUUGAAUAAACCAAACCAAAACUAACCAAAUUAUAGCCCAAAUUUAUUUUUGAUGAUACAGUACUGUAAAUAAAAUAUUCUAGCUAUAAUUUGGCUAGUUUUGAUUUUUUCAAGGUCCAAUGUUCAUAUUUACAGUAAUAAGCAAACUUCAGAUUUAUGAGUCAUCAGCAACCACCUGAUUGUCUCACUCAUCAAUGUUAUACAAUUCUCUUUCACAAUUCCUUUUGUUAAUCUCAUAAAUCUAAAUGAAAUUUAAAAUCAUAUUUCAACUAAUAAUCAAAAAGUGUCCAUCUUAUUAUAAACAGUUGUUCAAGAUACAAGAUAGAGAGGUGUCCAGGAUAUAGAGGUUUGGACAUACAGUAAAAUAUAGGCUUUUGUCUGGUUCCAUGAAAAGUC